CAAGUCGAGGGGCAGCAUUUCUAGCUUGCUAGAAGAUGGCGACCGGCGCACGGGUGAGUAACGCGUAUGCAACCUACCUUAUACUGGGGGAUAGCCCAGAGAAAUCUGGAUUAACACCGCAUAACAAUAUUUUGUCGCAUGGCAGAAUAUUUAAAACUCCGGUGGUAUAAGAUGGGCAUGCGUAGCAUUAGUUAGUUGGUGAGGUAACGGCUCACCAAGACGAUGAUGCUUAGGGGGUCUGAGAGGAUAGUCCCCCACACUGGUACUGAGACACGGACCAGACUCCUACGGGAGGCAGCAGUGAGGAAUAUUGGUCAAUGGACGCAAGUCUGAACCAGCCAUGUCGCGUGCAGGAUGACGGCCCUAUGGGUUGUAAACUGCUUUUUUACAGGAAUAAUUGUCGAUACGUGUAUCGAUUUGAAUGUACUGUAUGAAUAAGGAUCGGCUAACUCCGUGCCAGCAGCCCGCGGUAAUACGGAGGAUUCGAGCGUUAUCCGGAUUUAUUGGGUUUAAAGGGUCCGUAGGCGGUCUUUUAAGUCAGUGGUGAAAUCCCAGAGCUCAACUCUGGAACUGCCAUUGAAACUGAAAGACUUGAAUAUGGUUGAGGUAGGCGGAAUACGUUAUGUAGCGGUGAAAUGCAUAGAUAUAACGUAGAACACCAAUUGCGAAGGCAGCUUACUAAACCAUUAUUGACGCUGAUGGACGAAAGCGUGGGGAGCGAACAGGAUUAGAUACCCUUGGUAGUCCACGCCGUAAACGAUGAUUACUCGUUGUGCACAAUACAUCGUGCGUGACUUAGCGAAAGCAUUAAGUAAUCCACCUGGGGAGUACGUUCGCAAGAAUGAAACUCAAAGGAAUUGACGGGGGCCCGCACAAGCGGAGGAACAUGUGGUUUAAUUCGAUGAUACGCGAGGAACCUUACCUGGACUUAAAUGUAGAUUGACCGGCUUAGAAAUAGGUCUUCUCUUCGGAGCAAUUUACAAGGUGCUGCAUGGUUGUCGUCAGCUCGUGCCGUGAGGUGUCGGGUUAAGUCCCAUAACGAGCGCAACCCCUAUUGUUAGUUGCUAGCAGGUAAUGCUGAGGACUCUAGCGAGACUGCCACCGUAAGGUGAGAGGAAGGUGGGGAUGACGUCAAAUCAGCACGGCCCUUACGUCCAGGGCUACACACGUGUUACAAUGGCCAGUACAAAGGGCAGCUACCAGGUGACUGGAUGCUAAUCUCAAAAGCUGGUCUCAGUUCGGAUCGGAGUCUGCAACUCGACUCCGUGAAGUUGGAUUCGCUAGUAAUCGUAUAUCAGCAAUGAUACGGUGAAUACGUUCCCGGGCCUUGUACACACCGCCCGUCAAGCCAUGGAAGCCGAGGGUGCCUGAAGUACGUUACCGUAAGGAG
This 1390-nucleotide ribosomal RNA is filed under the name Bacteroidetes bacterium ANT9285. RNAcentral describes it as "16S ribosomal RNA". It matches the Rfam family "Bacterial small subunit ribosomal RNA". The record is from RNAcentral. Lineage: Bacteria; Pseudomonadati; Bacteroidota.